This is an RNA transcript of Dunckerocampus dactyliophorus (ringed pipefish), 5822 nucleotides long. It is a transcript of the gene named protein Bouncer-like, with no coding region annotated. The transcript has 4 exons. The record is from RefSeq and is a predicted model, not a curated record. Lineage: Eukaryota; Metazoa; Chordata; Actinopteri; Syngnathiformes; Syngnathidae.
CCAAGAAAUCAUGCUAUUUUGUGGUUAAAUACAGCCUGUUAUUAGUCAAAAAUAUGCAUAUUUAAGCAUUUAUGUAUUUUUUUUAAUUGAGCAUUCUCAAACAUAAAUUACUGUAGCUUAAUUAAAGUAAAGUACAAAUAUAAGGCAUUCGGAAGAUGCAUUCAAAGACAUUGUGAUGAUAUGUAGUACUCUACACUGGUCACUAGGAGUCACUAAUGUUACUGUAAUGUUCAGAGAGACACACAAGCACCAGACUUGAUUGCUGGCACGACAGGCUUUUAUUGCAGGCUUGAAUUCUUUCACAACAGGCACAUUGACACGGGCUACUGAUGCGGCCGUAACCCACGCCAAGCUAAAACUCAAUUCUGAACCCUACUACGUCACUUCCUGCCCACCCCGACACUCAGCUUCCUUAGCACCAGGACACAUUUACACCAACACGCGUGAGCAUGAGUCUUAUUUAUGCGCUUAUUUUCUACUAUAUUGGGUAAUAAGAGUGUAAAGGUGACUAUAGUGGUGUUAUUUCAUGUUUAGAGGGCUUUAAUAAUGUUAAGAACCAUAUUUACUGUAGAAGGUCGUAAACAGGUUUUCUAUGCUCAGACUACGAAAAUAUUCAAUUUAUAAGUCUUAUUUAGAUCUUAAAUGGCUUAUUUACUUGACUAUAUUGGGUGAAAGGAGUGUAAGGGUGACUAUAGGGAUGUUAUUUCAUGUCUAGAGGGCUCUAAUAAUGUUUUAAAAAAGUGCAUUUAGAAGGUCGGAAACAGGUUUUCUAUGCUCUAACUACAACGGUAUUCCAUUUAUUUAUUCCAUUUAUACGCAGAAACCAAUUAACUGUGAUAAACGAGGGAUUACUGUAUUUGAAAACCUUCUGUAUAGUGUAGAUGGAGAUUAGAUAGUUAGUUUUGUAGUGUUUAUUGGAAAAAAAAGAUAGUUGAUACAGAUGUGACACACUCUUACUUUUUAAUCAGUAAUUGUUGUGUAGAUAUCAGUCAUUUUUUGGACCAAAAAAACCAACAACAGUUGAGUUGAUUGGGUGUCUGUCAUGGGACUGCAGGUCACCUGACAUCCCUCCUGCUGGACUCAACGUCGUCCAUUAGGACAAUUUAAUAAACCUGCUUGACGUCAUUCUGUAAAAUAUAUCACAUUUUUCUGCCUGUUCCAUUUCGUCUUACUCAGGGUUGAAGUGGUUACUAUAAAAUUAUUCGUGAUAGUUUGUCCAGGCCGCUUCAUGCUCCACGGUUGCCUAAUUGCAUUUCACAGUAAGCAUCGCGGUGUGGGCAGAUUUGGGUAGAAUCAAGACAAGAACAGCCAGAAGACAUUUAUCUUCAGAUCAGCAUCUGCAUGGAGCUGCUUAGACACUCUGUGGAAGACUUGAACACAUUGUAGUGCUUUUAGAGGUGAAAACUUGAUGAAAACAACAAAAUAGAACGUUUCAGAGCGUCAGCAGCAAGGAGAGAUGGUGCAGCUGGUUUCCCUGCUGCUUUUUCUUCUUUUACUUCCAGCUGUGAUUCCUCUCUUUUGUUACACCUGUGUCUUUCCCGCCACCGCACCUCUGGAAUGCAUCAGGUUCCCUGUCCAGUGUCCUGAAGGGCAAGUCUGUCUGUCCAGCAGAGCUGUGGGGCAGAAAGGAGACUUCCGCGUGAUGAUGUACGAGAGGAGCUGCAUCCAGCCCUCCCUCUGUAGCGUCUCAAGUGAAAAACCCAUCAUGGGGCUCAACUUCACCUUCACCAACGACUGCUGCGACAAGCACCUGUGCAACGCAGCUGCAACGCCCGCUGCCCCCUACUGGUUGGCCACACUGCUCACACCCCUUGUGUCAUACGCGUUGAAAUGGCACACGCACUUGUAGAGACUCGCUUUGGGAUUGUGCAAAGUGAAGAAAAGUGUCACUCAAAAAAAGUAGACAGACAGAGAUGGCAUCAUGGUUGGCGCUAUUAGGCUAUUGUACAUAUUGUAACAAACAUACCUUUUUAAUAGUGUUUUUCAUGGGCAGAGAUGUACAUAACCAUACACAUCCAUCCCACCACCUUCCCUUCUUCUUCUUCUUGAAAUGGCGGUUAGUACAGUGUACAUUUGGCAGACCCCUAGUAUCACCUAUGAUUCAUUGUUUACAACACAUUGCAACUGUUAUGCUGCAGGCACUCAAGACAACCACUGGCUAGCAAGCUCACGAGCUAACCAGUUAGCCUUGAAUGUAUUCCUUGUAAACCUAAGAAGCCAAAAAUGUACCACUUUCACACUGAAUGGGAGGAGAACUUUUUUUCACUCUGUCAUGUCGGACAUGCCAUGGCUGACAUCAUGACUUCAUGUCUCAGUGUUUUGUUACUGCAGACUAGUGACUGAAAUACUACAUAUCACUUGUAUUUCAAUAUGUCUUGACUAUUAGUAAACAAUAGUCUACCUCAAAACAGCAAUUUUAAAAAAUUUAUUGAUUAAUUAAAAAAAAAAGCCGCGAUAUAGCGAGGGAGCGAUAAUCGAACCGCUAUAUUGCGAGGGACGACUGCAUUACCGCCACUACCAGUGUGUAACAGGAAUUGCAUCUGCUAAAUUUUCCAUUUUGAUUUCGGGGUGCCGGUGCGCUGGUCUACCACAAGAUGGUUUCUUGCUCAACUCUAAAUCAAUCAUCAAUCAAUCAUCAAUCAUCUAUGUAUCGCCGUUGUUUCAGUGUCACUGCUGGCAACAUGUCAGGUUUAAUCAGUCUGGCAGUGUUGAUUCAGCGACUGUUCUUUCAUUGAAAUUUCAUUGUCAAGCAUUCUGAUGGAAAUUCAACAACAAUCAACAUUGUUUCAAUGUUACCUUGCUAUCUGGGAUAUGAGAUUAGAAGUAUGACAGGAACUCCUUCCUCCCCCCUCGCAUAAACGGUGCUUUCACUGCAAAUUGUAUAUUUACAAUCCAGAGGCCAAACUUGUGAGUAAUUCCACGCCGUGGACAUACCGAGCUAGCAGCCUUGUUGCUGUGUGGAGCGUGACGUCACUCACGCGCCCAUAUUAUCGGCAGAAAACCAAUAGAUGUCAGCCGAUCUCAUUUUUAUGCCAAUAUUGUCCGAUAAUCUCAAAUCAACAUGGACUCCAAAGUCGAUCACAAAGUGUUCCAUGAUCCUGAUUGACUUCCAAGUUCAUUUCAAAACCAUUUACAGUCGUACCUCGUCUAUCGUGGAAUUUCCGUAAAGAAGGAUUCAAUAUUAGCACAUUGAAUAUUUUUUUAGUUUGAGCAUAGAAAACCUGUGUAUGCCCUUCUAAAUAUGGUUUUAACCGUUAUUAGGCUCCUGUAGACAUGAAAUAACACCCCUUUAGUCACCUGUACACUCACGUUAUCUAAGACAGUAGCCAUAAUAAACGUUAAUAAGACAUAAUAACUCAUACAUUAGCACUGGGAAAGCUGCUUGUUGUUGUAGUAUCUCUGCAGGGAUGCCUCUUUAAGCAUUGCAAGCUACCAAGCUAACUAGUUAGCCUCCAAUUUAUUUAUUCUAGAGUUAAGAAAGUGUUUCAAACUGAGUCGGGAAGAAGGACAAAGUAAGAAGCAAAACACACACCACAACAAUGUAACAUUACUAGUCCAGGCCUAGUGACCAGGAUAUGAGUAGUGACUAGUCUUUCAGUCUUAGCAUGUAAUUAGAAAACUGAAGGUAUCCUUCAUUUAUUUCUGCAUACGACCCUCCGUCUUAUAGUGUCAAUACACUAAAUGUAACUAAUUUUUCCUUUUUCCACAUCACUUUGAAAGAACUUGUUUAUUCGAGCUGCCAUGUGUUAACGAUAGAUUCAACAAAAAAUGGGCUGUAUCGCUGCCAAUGACUUAAAUGUCACCAAAAAGACACCGAGACUCGCAUUAAUAAUGGCGCUCAAACCAUGUGAGUGAUUCUAAUGGAAUGAAAUCAAAUUUCAAUUAAAAAAAGGAUCGCUUUUAUUGUAUGAAAUUAAUCUCAAACAGUUUAUUGUCAGUGUGCAAGAAAUAGAAAAUGUACAACUAACAUCGUCCCUUCCUUAAAAAGACACAACAUUGAAUCAUUUAGAAGGAUAGUAGGGGUGUAACUUUGUACAAAUACUUUUGACAGGCAUUACAUGUAACAAAUAACAGUAUUUUACACCCCUGAAGGUACACUGAGGUUGUAUGUGUCCAAGCUUUGGAGUUUUCUUGUGGGCUCACGUUGCAUCUAUGUCGAAUGUCCAAGUAACCUCCAAGUCAGGAAGUUAUCUUUUUGCAUAUUCUUUAUUAAUAUUUAAGGGUCAAAUAAACGGGAAGUUGAUAUUUUAUUGCUCUUUGCUCCAUUCACAACGCCGUCUGUGUGGCGUCAGCACUGUUGUGUGACCUUUCCCCCCGAGGUUUCGGCUCUAAAUUUGAGGCGCUAACGAUCGCUUGCUCCGCUCUGCUGCCGCCGCUGCUGUUGUCACCGUUUACCGCCGGCUGGCGAUCCGGAUCCGAAUCCACGGGAGGUGACAUCAUCCUUUCUGUGUGCUCGCUGGCUGCUCUGUCAGUCACAAUCAGGUAGUUGGGCUCCAGCUGGUGGGCGCUGGAGCGACGCUGCAAAGCGUGCUGGGUACACGAGAAGGAGCGCUGCCGGGGGGCCGGCUGGGGUGACAGGAAGUGAGGCGUGACCGCUCUGGGAACUUCCUGCUGCCGCUCCCGGUCCUCGUCCUCCGAGGUCACCUCCUGCAAAGUGCUGAUUGGCCGAGGGGAGCGGCCCAUGACUCGGGGAGGCACCAGCGCCGUUGCCGAUUGGUUGAGCUGCGGUCGCCAGUUCUGAGGGGGCGGGUAUUGUACGCUGCCCAUGGACCAGUUACUGUCGAGACAUCAUUUAAUAAUCACUACAGAUUCACCGUGAAUACACUUAGACCUGGUAGGUGUUCCCCAAAAACCCCAAAAAUAUUGUCACUGCCAUCUACCCUUCCAUAGCCAGGACAUAUUUGGGUUCUUUCCGCUUUCAGACAAUACGAUAAUACCCUCACCUGAGACUGACUUGAGUUCCCGAGUGAUAAUUCUGACUGUUUACCUCUGCGGCGGUGGCGUCAUGUCUCGAGGCGCGACCAUGCCGGAGAAGGAGGCGCUUCGUCCAGGCAGCCCUUGCGUCCCGACCCACGGCGAGUACAUCAAAGCGCGCUCUUCCCAUAUCAUUUCGUUGGCAGAGUCGACCGGGGCGGGUACUCUUUGAAUUUGGUGGGCCAACAGGAGCUCCAGGACUUGGUGAUGCAGGCCUUCCCUGGCCACGUCCACCGGGCGGCGCCCUCUGCGGUCAUGGAGCUCCAGGUUGGCGCCGUGGAGGAGGAGAAGUCGGGUGGUGUCGUAGCAACCGUAGAAGGCGGAGAGGAAAAGAGGGGUUUCACCCUGGUGGGUGAAUAUUGAUUUAAUAUCCCCAACCCAUCUUUUGAAAAGAUGGCUGUGUUGGCAUGACGACCAUUACCUUAUUAUCCUGCAGGUCCACGGCCGCGCCAUAACGGACAAGCGUCCUUGUUAGGGAGAGGUGGUUAACUGAGCAUGCCCAGUGCAGGGCCGAUCUCCCUGAGAGAGAGUUAAGCCCGGGUGGAGGAGCGGGAGAAGGCAUGGAUGUUUGGAGAUGUACGCGCAUGUGAGGAAGACAAGAUGCAGAGGAAGAGGGCGGCAAACAAAGUUAACGCUUGUUUACGAGCGUGAGGCGCCAGCAUUAACUUUGUUCUGAGUCAGAGGAAGGCAGCAGGGGAGCUGGAGGAGGAAGAGAGGGAAGACAUGGGAGGAAGGAGGUAAGUUACAGCAGAUACUCAAGUCUUCAGAUGAACCUUUUCAUGCUUUUUUAUGUGCAGAUAUGGUCCGGAACAGCUCUCUAACAGAUAAAAGUACAUUUUACACUGACA